AAGUGCUAAAAACUAUUCAAUUGUCUUUGGAGGGCAUGAGCUUCAUCCAUUAUAAAAAGAGAUAAAAUUAUACCUUUUUUACAUGCCUAAAAGAAACAAUAUGGCUGAAAUUCUUAAGAUUACCUAUGCAAUGAUUCUAUUUCUUUCCUUAUUUGUUGAUUCAGCGAAAUUUGAUUGUAAGCCACUUUUUCAUCCUUUGCAAAUUUUCUUAUUUCAUGUGUACACAAAUAUUUUAUCUCGUUUUUAGGCGGUACGUGUAUUAGAUUAAGAUUUUAAAGGAUUUGACAAAUCUUGUAGUAUUCAAUCAAGAUUUUUACAAAAGUUAAAAAAAAAAAAAGUGCUAUUGAAUUAAGACAAUUAAGAUUUUUUUUCAAGGCAACAAAAUUUCUUGAUAUUCAAUUAAGAUUUCUCAUCAUUUUUAAAAUGUCUAUCGGUAUUUAAAAAUCUAUAUAUUUUGCAAUAUAUUUAUAUGCUUCCCAUCUUAAUUAUAUCAAACGUUAAUCAAACAAUUGAAACAUUGCAGUAGAUACUAUUGCAGUUGAGGAUCCGGGUAGUAAGCGUACGCACUUUUUCAUUCUUUUUUAAUAUCCUUAUUUACUUUGUACACAACAUUUUAUCCAUUUUAAUAACAUUGUUUUAUUCUCUUAUUUCAUUAUUAUUAUAGCACUUGUAUAUGAAUGUGAAAACGAUGACGAUUGUCUUGGAAGGAUUCCACCUCCUUUCCGUAUGAAGUGCAUUGACCACUUUUGUGUAAUUUAUAUGAAGGAAUCCGAUGAAUGGGAAUGAGCUCUUUAGCUAAGCAUAAUAUCUAUGCAAUAUAUCUUAUUCUAAAAAAUAUUUCAUGAGUUGUUAUUUAGUUAUUAAGAUGGUACCAAUAAUAAUUAAAAUAAGAAUCAUUAAUUUUUAUUUAUGUUUUAUAUUAUAAUUUCAAAAAUCUUGAAGUUAUAUGACUUGUACUUUAAGAUGAUGGUAAUGAAAUAAAAAAGCAGCAAAUAUUAUAUUAUUUA
RNAcentral lists this long non-coding RNA (1007 nucleotides) under Trifolium pratense (red clover). RNAcentral's name for it is "long non-coding RNA (TPRA_LNC010150)". Lineage: Eukaryota; Viridiplantae; Streptophyta; Magnoliopsida; Fabales; Fabaceae. The record is from RNAcentral.